GUAACCACACAGCAUGGAGAAAAGUGCUGGGAAAGGCACCAGAGAGUGCAGAGUCCAGCUCAGGAUACACCGGAAUCUACCAUAUGUAAAUUUUGCUGCUGCUGUCUCUUUGGAUUUGGGCCAUUUUUAAGAGGUGUAACACUCACUGUGAAGUUCUGUAGCUCCAUUCUUCAAGUUAGCGAGACCACGAACCUGCCGGAAGGAACCAACUCCGGACAUAGCAGAUCAAGAAGGCAGUCAGAAGUGGGCAAAAAAACUUUUUAUGGUUCACUGAGGACAAUCAACUCCUUCACAAUCUAGAACCCGAAGAUUGGAUCCUCUGAGACAUCAGAGAAAGAUUGCUUUAGCCAUCCUCACUGCAGUAAAACUUCAGGACCUCGAGCCUUGGGUUCAUAAUCUCACAACUGAGAAGGGUCCCUCCACACUGUUGAACUGUACACCCAUUGGAACCCUUAAGGUAAAGCUAACCAGGGAAGUUUCUCCCUAAGAAGAAGAUGGCAUCCUUGAUGCAAAAAGCUUUUCCCAACAUCACAGAUCAAGACUUCUAUUAUCAUGAGACUCUUAUCUUUGAAUACUUUUCCCCUUGCUUAUGCCUGUAUGAACAAUACAAGUGGAAAAGGGGUCU
RNAcentral lists this long non-coding RNA (625 nucleotides) under Homo sapiens (human). RNAcentral's name for it is "HSALNT0380244". The record is from RNAcentral. Lineage: Eukaryota; Metazoa; Chordata; Mammalia; Primates; Hominidae.